AGGGCGGGACACGUGUUAUCCUGUCUGAAUAUGGGGGGACCAUCCUCCAAGGCUAAAUACUCCUGACUGACCGAUAGUGAACCAGUACCGUGAGGGAAAGGCGAAAAGAACCCCUGUGAGGGGAGUGAAAUAGAACCUGAAACCGUGUACGUACAAGCAGUAGGAGCACCUUCGUGGUGUGACUGCGUACCUUUUGUAUAAUGGGUCAGCGACUUAUAUUCAGUGGCAAGGUUAACCAUCUAGGGGAGCCGUAGGGAAACCGAGUCUUAACUGGGCGCCAUAGUCUCUGGAUAUAGACCCGAAACCGAGUGAUCUAGCCAUGGGCAGGUUGAAGGUUGAGUAACAUCAACUGGAGGACCGAACCGACUAAUGUUGAAAAAUUAGCGGAUGACUUGUGGCUAGGGGUGAAAGGCCAAUCAAACUCGGAGAUAGCUGGUUCUCCCCGAAAGCUAUUUAGGUAGCGCCUCGGACGAAUACUACUGGGGGUAGAGCACUGUUAAGGCUAGGGGGUCAUCCCGACUUACCAACCCUUUGCAAACUCCGAAUACCAGUAAGUACUAUCCGGGAGACACACGGCGGGUGCUAACGUCCGUCGUGGAGAGGGAAACAACCCAGACCGCCAGCUAAGGUCCCAAAUUACAGCUAAGUGGGAAACGAUGUGGGAAGGCUUAGACAGCUAGGAUGUUGGCUUAGAAGCAGCCAUCAUUUAAAGAAAGCGUAAUAGCUCACUAGUCGAGUCGGCCUGCGCGGAAGAUGUAACGGGGCUAAGUUGUAAACCGAAGCUGCGGCAAUGUUCUUUGAACAUUGGGUAGGGGAGCGUUCUGUAAGCCGUUGAAGGUGUGUUGUAAAGCAUGCUGGAGGUAUCAGAAGUGCGAAUGCUGACAUGAGUAACGACAAGGGGGGUGAAAAACCUCCCCGCCGGAAGACCAAGGGUUCCUGUCCAACGUUAAUCGGGGCAGGGUAAGUCGACCCCUAAGGCGAGGCCGAAAGGCGUAGUCGAUGGGAAACGGG
This 1011-nucleotide ribosomal RNA is filed under the name Vibrio vulnificus. RNAcentral describes it as "partial 23S ribosomal RNA". It matches the Rfam family "Bacterial large subunit ribosomal RNA", at positions 414 to 1429 of the family's 2925-position model. Lineage: Bacteria; Pseudomonadati; Pseudomonadota; Gammaproteobacteria; Vibrionales; Vibrionaceae. The record is from RNAcentral.